AACCUCCAGAUUCCUUUCGGGUCAGAUCUAAAUAGUGGUCGGAACGGUUACGAAAGGAGGAAAGGCAAAACUGAAAGGGCUUCGAUUCUUUUGUGACAUAUAAGUUGAUUUCAAACAACA
Molecule: small nucleolar RNA, 120 nt
Filed under: Echinops telfairi (small Madagascar hedgehog)
Lineage: Eukaryota; Metazoa; Chordata; Mammalia; Afrosoricida; Tenrecidae
Description: Small nucleolar RNA SNORA61 (ENSETEG00000024899.1)
Source: RNAcentral